This 936-nucleotide ribosomal RNA is filed under the name Gloeocystidiopsis ravum. RNAcentral describes it as "LSU rRNA". It matches the Rfam family "Eukaryotic large subunit ribosomal RNA", at positions 38 to 961 of the family's 3401-position model. The record is from RNAcentral. Lineage: Eukaryota; Fungi; Basidiomycota; Agaricomycetes; Russulales; Stereaceae.
GCAUAUCAAUAAGCGGAGGAAAAGAAACUAACAAGGAUUCCCCUAGUAACUGCGAGUGAAGCGGGAAAAGCUCAAAUUUAAAAUCUGGCGGUCUCCGGCCGUCCGAGUUGUAGUCUGGAGAAGCGUUUUCCGCGUUGGACCGUGUACAAGUCUCCUGGAACGGAGCGUCAUAGAGGGUGAGAAUCCCGUCUUUGACACGGACCCCAGUGCUUUGUGAUGCGCUCUCAAAGAGUCGAGUUGUUUGGGAAUGCAGCUCAAAAUGGGUGGUGAAUUCCAUCUAAAGCUAAAUAUUGGCGAGAGACCGAUAGCGAACAAGUACCGUGAGGGAAAGAUGAAAAGCACUUUGGAAAGAGAGUUAAACAGUACGUGAAAUUGUUGAAAGGGAAACGCUUGAAGUCAGUCGCGUUGGCCGGGACUCAGCCUUGCAUUUGCUUGGUGUACUUUCCGGUCGACGGGCCAGCAUCAGUUUUGACCGCGGGAUAAAGGCAGAGGGAAUGUGGCUCCUCCGGGAGUGUUAUAGCCCUUCGUCAGAUGUCGCGGUUGGGACUGAGGAACUCAGCACGCCUUUAUGGCCGGGGUUCGCCCACGUACGUGCUUAGGAUGCUGGCGUAAUGGCUUUAAACGACCCGUCUUGAAACACGGACCAAGGAGUCUAACAUGCCUGCGAGUGUUCGGGUGGAAAACCCGUGCGCGUAAUGAAAGUGAAAGUUGGGAUCCCUGUCGUGGGGUGCACCGACGCCCGGACCAGACCUUCUGUGACGGAUCUGCGGUAGAGCAUGUAUGUUGGGACCCGAAAGAUGGUGAACUAUGCCUGAAUAGGGUGAAGCCAGAGGAAACUCUGGUGGAGGCUCGUAGCGAUUCUGACGUGCAAAUCGAUCGUCAAAUUUGGGUAUAGGGGCGAAAGACUAAUCGAACCAUCUAGUAGCUGGUUCCUGC